This 1592-nucleotide ribosomal RNA is filed under the name Ipomoea nil (Japanese morning glory). RNAcentral's name for it is "Eukaryotic small subunit ribosomal RNA". It matches the Rfam family "Eukaryotic small subunit ribosomal RNA". Lineage: Eukaryota; Viridiplantae; Streptophyta; Magnoliopsida; Solanales; Convolvulaceae. The record is from Rfam by way of RNAcentral.
GACAAAAUUGAUCAAGAUUUACCAUUCUAAUGCAACUAGGGAGAAGUCUGAUAAGUUGUAAGAUGCUUUGGAAAGUUCGUGAUAGCAAUGUUGUUUUUGCUUUCUCUGUGUUUUUUUUUCUUUCUUUCUUCCUGAUUGAACGUAAAGUCGGCAACCUUCUGCCGGCGAUGCGUCCUGGCCUUAAUUUGGCCGGAUGUCAGUGCCUCCGCGCUGCUACUUUGAAGAAUUAUGAGUGCUCAAAGCCAAGGCCUACUCGCUCUGUAUACGAUUAGAGGGAUAACAUUUAUUAGGAUUUCGGUCCUUAUUACGUUGUGGCCUUCGGGAUCGGAGAGUAAUGAUUAACAGGACAGUCGGGGGCAUUUCGUGAUUUCAGUCAGAGGUUGAAAUUUCUUGAUUUAUGAAAGGACGAACACGCUCGAAGAGCUACUUUUGCCAUAGGAUGUUUCAUUAAUCAAGAACGAAAGUUGUGAUAUUAUCUUGCUAGGGCUCGAAGUGAACUGAAAAUCAGAUAUCCGUUCCUAGUCUCAACCAUAAACGAUGCCCGACCAGGGAAUCGGCGGGAUGUUGCUUUUAGGACGCUCCGCCGGCACCCUUAUGAGAAAGUUCAAGAGUCUUUGGGUUCCGGGGGGAGUAUUGGUCGCAAGUGCGUGUAAUCUUAAAAGAAUUGACGGGGAAGGGCACCACCAGGAGUUGGAGCCUUUGCAGGCUUAAUUUUGAGACUCAUGAACAACGGUCUUACUCUCGUGGAAUUAAACUUCACCGAGCGUCCCAUGACUAUAGUAAGAUUGACAGAUGACUGAGAGAAUCUCUUUGUUCUGAUUUUGAUUUCUUAUGGGUGGUGCGUCGUCAUGGCCGUUCUUAUAGUUGGUGGAGCAUUUGUAUUCUUGACGUUAAUAUUCCGUUAAUAUACGAGCACCUUUCAGCCUGCCUAACUAGCUAUGCGGAGGUAUCCCUCUCGUCGGGCAGCUUAAACUCUUGUACAGAGGGACUACGCCAUUGUGAAGCCGUCGGGAAAGGGUCUAAGUUUGAGGCGAAUAACAGGUUCUGUGAUGGCGCUUAGAUGUUCUGGUUCGCCGCACGUCGCGCGCUACACUAUGUAUUAACGAUGUGGCACUAUUGCCUUGGGCCGGCCAGCGCCGGUAAGAAGGUGAAUUCUUGAAUUUCAUCUGUCGUGAUCCCGGAUGUUAGAUACUAUUGUGCGUUGUUGGUUUCUCUUCAUUACCGGAGGGAAUUCCUAGUGUAAGCGCGAGUCGAUCAGCUGCGCGUUGACUACGUCCCUGGCCUUUGUACACACCGGCCCGUCGCUCCUACCGAUUGAAUGAUCCGCGUGCUCUAGUGAAGGUGUUUCGCUCAUCGCGGCGUCUUCCGGAUACAGGUAGCGGUUCGCUAAAUGCUGCAUUGUUUUUUCAUCAAAUCAAUUGAUUUCUCUUAUGUAUCGCCCUUGCUUUCUAGCCUCCUCAUUAAUUUUCAUGCCACUUGCAAAUAUCGCGACUGUACGAUUCUUUGAUGAGUCAUGGAACUCUUAUUCAUUUAGAGUCGAAGAGAAGUUCGUAACAAGCGUUCCGUAGGUGAACCCUGCGGACAGAUCCGCA